Molecule: long non-coding RNA, 3730 nt
Filed under: Sus scrofa (pig)
Lineage: Eukaryota; Metazoa; Chordata; Mammalia; Artiodactyla; Suidae
Description: lncRNA (ENSSSCG00030033285.1)
Source: RNAcentral
UUUUUUUUUUUUUUUUUUUUUGGUUUUGCUUUUGGGGGCCGCACCCAUGGUACAUGGAACUUCUCAGGCUAGGGGGUCGAACAGGAGCUCCAGCUGCCAGCCCAGGCCACAGCCACAGCAACCCAGGAGCCAAGCUGCGUCUGUGACCUACACCGCAGCUCACGGCAACACCGGAUGCUUAACCCACUGAAGGAAGCCAGGGAUCCAACCCACAUCAUCAUGGAUACUCGUUAGAUUUGUUUCCGCUGGGCCACGAUGGGAACUCCAAAUUGGACUUUUCCCAUACCUAACACCUGACAACCCACCUGGACUUUCCCACUGGACACAGAAGCGCAGCGGAUAUCUCUGUCCCUGCCAUCCAGGGCUCUGUUUGGCCCUGCAGUGAGAGGACUGGGCUGCGGGCUGCUGUCUGGUUCACCUCCGGCAGGUUCCCACUCAUCUGCCACUGUCCUUGCUGCUCCAAUUCCUCAGACUGUCUCUAGUUACUUCAGUUACACUUGUUUUUUUCUUUUUCGGCCAUGGUAGAGUUCCCAGGCCAGGGAUCAGAUCUGAGCUGCACUUGCAACCUUGGCUGCAGCUGCAGCAAUGCUGGAUCCCUUAACCCACUGUGCCAGGCCGGGGAUAGCACCUAUGUUCUUGGCGCUGCAGAGACACCGCCGAGCCCACUGCACCACAGCAGGGACUCCACUUCUGUUGCAUUUUGCUUUUAAGUUAACUCACUAAUGUUUUUGCCCCCCUAAAUAGACUGAUUUAAAAAGGAAUAGGGAGUUCCCUGGUGGUCUAGUGGUUAAGGAUCCAGCAUCAUCACUGCUCUGACGCAGGUUCAAUCCCUGGCUCGGGACCUUCCACAUGCCACAGAUGAGGCGAAAAAAAAAAUGUUUAAACUUUUUUAAAUUACAAAAAUAAAAAAUAAAUAAAAAGGAAUGGGUAUGUCAGUAUCAUACAUGGAAAAGCAGUAUCUGUGCCAAAAAUAGGAAGUAACAUCAACUGCAGAAAAACAACAUCAUCUAAAUGCCAGCUCGAGUGUGCACUGCCCAAGACCGUGGGCAGGAGGUCUGCUCCCUCCCAGUUAUAAGGGGGCCAAGCCAGUGAGAGAGAGAGAGAGAGAGAGAGAGACAGAGAGACAGAGAGACAGAGAGACAGAGAGACAGAGAGACAGAGACAGAGAGACAGAGACAGAGAGACAGAGAGAGAUGGUAAAGCCGCCUACCAGUAAGGCAGGAUUUCUCCCUUUGACCAGGAUUGCUGUGUGAUUCAGAGCCCUCUCUGUGUCCCACCUAACCUCACCCCGGCAGAACUCACCAGUGGCUCACCUCUCACCUUUGGGGAACCUCCCUCUGGCCAAGCAGUUUUCAUUUCAUUUUUGGGCCUGGAACCCUAAGAGCCAUGGGCUGGCUGGGCAGGGAGGCCCAGCUGGAGUCUCCCCAAGGCUGGAUGAGGCCUCUCCACUCUCUAGCAGGCCCCUCCCUGUGCCAGCCCCCCCAGCGCCCCAAGGGAAGCAGGCACAGGGCCAGGCUGACACAGGGCAGGCCCAGCUGGGCCCCAGCAAGCCCCGGGGAGCCAGGGUGAGCUCAUCCCUCGCCCUUAAUUAUCUUCUUGGCUAAUGAGCAUCUGAAAAUCUUCAUGUUGUGGACAAGGAGGACCCCUGGGACGCUGGGGGCAGGGAGGUUCUAUGGGCCAGAUGUCACCCAUGGAGGGAGGUGGUAGGGGCCCCUAGAGAGGAAACGGGCUUGGGGAGGGGAGCUGCACUUCCUGCCUCUUUGCAGGGGAGAAAGCGGGGGCUGGGGGCAGGCGGCCUGGGGAGAGCUUAAGUGCAGGGCUUGAACCCGGGUUUGGUGCUCACCACCAGUGAUCUCUAGCAAAUACCUUAGCCCCUUGCUGCUCAAAGUGUGGUCCCCAAACCAUCAGUACCACCUGAGAGCUUGUGAGAAACGCAAAACCUCAGUUUCCCCAUCUUAACAUGGGGGUUAAAAUGCAUUUAUGCACAUAUAGUGCCCAGAAUGGGGUUUGUCGCUGUUACUCUUUAUUCAUUGCUAUUGAUGGUACCGAAGCAACUCUGGGCAAAGUGAAUGGCUGGGCUCAGGUGACCUAUUCCCAGCCCCCCAGAGGUGGGCUGUCCCUGUGAAAACCAGGAGCCUGAGGCUCACAGAAAUACAGUCAGUUGCCCAAGAUCCAAAGUCAGUUGUCUUUUUAUAGAUGACAGAACUGUGGGACAGAGAGGUUUGGCUGCUUUUCUAAAGCCAGCCAGUAGGAAAGGCUGCAUGGAACCUGGCAGUCUGACUCUCGCCUUCUAUGCUAUGCUGCAUUCCCCCCUCACCAUUUUUUCCUUCCAGAAUCUUUUCCCCCAAAGUGUCCCUGCUUCUCCUGUCAUCUCUUUGUCAGCUCUGGCUCUGGGGCUCCAAGCCUGCCCCUCCCAUGUCCUCACCACUAAUGAGGUCUUCGGCCACUUGAGGCUGAGACCACAGCGGCCACCGAAACUGGCUCUGUGGGAAGACCCUGCCACCUUUCACCCUGGGCUCCCAGGUGUGGCUGGCGGGGCAGGAGGCCUGGAGGCCCUGAGGGCAGCGCUGAGCAGACUCGGGAGCUGUUCUGUGCUGUUUGGCUCUGGCCUCUGGGGAGCCAGCCUGGAACCGGAGAGCCCUCUGCCUCUCUGUCCACUCUUACUUAACCCUCAACUCACCUCCUGGUGCUGGCCAUGUGGCUAGGGUGCAGUCUGCCCAUUCAUUCAUUCAUUCAAUACCCACACAUCACAGGCACUUGCAAGUGUACAAUUCUGCACGGCAUAACAAAGGCCGGAGAAUAACAAAGGGGACUGUGCUGGGUGGAGAUGAGGGAGGGAACAGCACAGGUAAAGGCCCAGGGAUGGGAAACAGCUUGGUGCCUUGGAAAGAGGAUGGCGAGACCCGCGAAGCUAGAGCGGAGGGAGUAAGGUGAGCCUGGCCUCCAGGGCCUGGAGAACUGGGCCCUCCACCUUCUCCCAGAAGGUUCUGCUUGAGGCUGGCGAAGAUAUUCCCACCCAAGACUCCCAGCUCCCAGGAUGAGGGGCUCCACCUGCACACUCCUGCCUUCCAGGGAGCCUGGGCCACAGAGGCCUUGCCCCUCUUAUGGGCCCCCAGCGGGCCACCAGGGGGAGUGUCCUCCUGCUGGACUGGCUUCUUGAGUGAACAAGUGGACUAACCGUCUGUAAUUGCCUGAAUCCUGCCUUCACUACAUGUGGGCUGGGGCACUUCAGCCCUUUGAAGCCUCAACUGCAAAAUGAACAGCUCUUCCUUUCUCAGCUAUCUCGUGGAAAUGCGCUGGGAGGUCAGUACAGGGCGUGGCACUUGGUGAGGGUCCUACUCGCGGGGUUAUUACGUUCAUAGCCACGACUGUAAGAGGCCAAGGGGCUGCAAAUUGCCCACAGCUUCAGCCUGCAGCAGAAUGAGAGCUCCCUGAGGGCAGGCUCCUUGUCUGUCUCGUUCGUGGUUAUUCUCGUGAGCACUGGGGCACGCAGCGCAUGAUCAGUGUUUUAUCAAUGUUGAAUGGAUGGAUGGAUGAUGAAUUAAAAACUAAGAAGCGAGUGAAUGACCCGCUCUCUCCCCAAGGAAGGACGUUUAACUCAGAGGUCCUGCCUCUCUUUUGCUCCUGCCCAGGAUUCUGCCGCUCCCUGCUUCCGGGAACCACGCCACACUCUUACCUGCUGAGCGCCCCGGUUUUCCCCUCUGUAAGCGGGCGGCAGUACGAGCAGCCU